UCAGCCAUCACUCAUUAUUGUGAGUCUCUAAGUAGUCCAGAGUGACUCAUUUAAAAAAUGUCUCAGGUGAGGUCUCUCUGCAUUCACCCUGGCUGACCUGAAAUAGCCUAAACUUGAAUCUCACAUGGAGGAGGACCAAUAACAUAUCACCCACUCAUUCCCUGCCCUGAGGAAGUCCCACAGAAAUCAGGAGUCCUUCAGGAGAGCACCUAGACCAUUCCAAAGCUAGGUUUUAAAUCCCUUGUGCUUAGAUUUAUAUCAGUCAGCUUAAGUUGAACUAUGCUGUAGUAACAAAUAAUUCAAAAACCUUGGUGGCUUACAAGUUUAUUUUUCCCUCAUAGUAUGUGCUUAUUGAGGGUCAAUUUUGGCUAUACUCCAUGUUGUCUUCAUUUCCAGGACCCAGGCUAAAAGAACAGCCCCUAUGUGGGGCAUGUUGGUCUUAUGGGAGAGGGAAAAGAAAUGUGAGGACCACAUGAUGGCUCUUAAAACUUCUGCCGGGAUGUGACACUUUUCACUUCCACUUCAUUCCAUUAUCCAAAGCUAGUCCUGUGACAAGCAUGAGUCAUUGCCCAUAGAUGAUUUAUCCUGUCGAAGGAGGGAUAGUGAAUAUUUUGAAGAAAUAGUAUGAUAUACCACAUGGGUACAUAAUAUCCAUGUCUCCCUUCAAAAAGUCAGCCUGUUAUAGGGCAUAACUGUUAGCCUAUUCAUGUGCAAAUUUGGUUAUGUUCCUGGUGACAAGACUGGAAAAUGGUGCAACUCUUUAGUCAAAAGGCUCAUAAGGACCA
This is a non-coding RNA of Ceratotherium simum simum (southern white rhinoceros), 785 nucleotides long. The record is from RefSeq and is a predicted model, not a curated record. Lineage: Eukaryota; Metazoa; Chordata; Mammalia; Perissodactyla; Rhinocerotidae.